Molecule: ribosomal RNA, 497 nt
Filed under: uncultured bacterium
Lineage: Bacteria
Description: partial 16S ribosomal RNA
Rfam family: Bacterial small subunit ribosomal RNA
Source: RNAcentral
GAUGAACGCUGGCGGCGUGCCUAAUACAUGCAAGUCGAGCGAACGGACGAGGCUUUUGCUUCACUGAUGUUACCGACGGAUGGGUGAGUAAUACGUGGAUAACCCACCUAUACGGCUGAAAUAAGUUAGGGAAAGCGUAGCUAAUACCGGAAAAUAUUUUGAUCGGGAUGGUUCAAAAGUGAAAUAGGGUUUUGAUGAGACUUAUAGAUGGAUGCGCGCUGCAUUGGCUAGUUGGUAAGGUAACGGCUUACCAAGGCAACGAUGCAUGGCCGACCUGAGAGGGGGUAGCGCCCCACAGAAGCUGAAACGCGGUCCAGACACCGAGGGGAGGCCGCAGUAGCUAAGCUUGCGCGAUGGGCGGAAGCCUGACGAAGCAGCGCCGCGUGAGUGAUGAGGGUCUUCGUAGCGGAAGACUCUGUUAGUAUUGAAGAACAUUUUUGUUAGUAACUAAGCAUUUUGUGACGGUACCUAAACAGGAAGCCCCGGCUAACUACGUG